RNAcentral lists this ribosomal RNA (253 nucleotides) under uncultured bacterium. Its description in RNAcentral is "partial 16S ribosomal RNA". It matches the Rfam family "Bacterial small subunit ribosomal RNA", at positions 524 to 776 of the family's 1533-position model. The record is from RNAcentral.
UACGUAGGGUGCGAGCGUUGUCCGGAAUUACUGGGCGUAAAGAGCUCGUAGGUGGUUUGUCGCGUUGUUCGUGAAAUUCCCUGGCUUAACUGGGGGCGUGCGGGCGAUACGGGCAGACUGGAGUACUGCAGGGGAGACUGGAAUUCCUGGUGUAGCGGUGGAAUGCGCAGAUAUCAGGAGGAGCACCGGUGGCGAAGGCGGGUCUCUGGGCAGUAACUGACGCUGAGGAGCGAAAGCGUGGGGAGCGAACAGG